Molecule: ribosomal RNA, 228 nt
Filed under: Acinetobacter baumannii
Lineage: Bacteria; Pseudomonadati; Pseudomonadota; Gammaproteobacteria; Moraxellales; Moraxellaceae
Description: partial 23S ribosomal RNA
Rfam family: Bacterial large subunit ribosomal RNA
Source: RNAcentral
CCGUAGGCAAGAGGAAAACAAUCCAGAACGCCAGAUAAGGACCCAAAAGCUUAGUUACGUGGUAAACGAUGGAGGAAGGCAUAGACAGCUAGGAGGUUGGCUUAGACGCAGCCAACCUUUAAAGAGAGCGGAAUAGCUCACUAGUCGAGUCGGCCUGCGCGGAAGAUGUGACGGGGCUAAAACUAUGUGCCGGAGCUGCGGAUGUAUUGAUUGUAUACGUGGUAGGGG